This 513-nucleotide ribosomal RNA is filed under the name uncultured bacterium. Its description in RNAcentral is "partial 16S ribosomal RNA". It matches the Rfam family "Bacterial small subunit ribosomal RNA", at positions 28 to 507 of the family's 1533-position model. The record is from RNAcentral.
GACGAACGCUGGCGGCGUGCUUAACACAUGCAAGUCGAACGAAAAGAGGGAAAGAGCUUGCUCUUUCCGGAAUUGAGUGACAAACGGGUGAGUAACACGUAAACAACCUGCCUUCAGGAUGGGGACAACAGACGGAAACGACUCCUAAUACCGAAUAAGCCCCAAGAGCCGCAUGGCCCAUGGAAGAAACGGUGGCCUCUACCUGUAAGCUAUCGCCUGAAGAGGGGUUUGCGUCUGAUUAGCUGGUUGGAGGGGUAACGGCCCACCAAGGCGACGAUCAGUAGCCGGUCUGAGAGGAUGAACGGCCACACUGGAACUGAGACACGGUCCAGACUCCUACGGGAGGCAGCAGUGGGGAAUCUUCCGCAAUGGGCGAAAGCCUGACGGAGCAACGCCGCGUGAGUGAGGACGGCCUUCGGGUUGUAAAACUCUGUGAUCCGGGACGAAAAGGCAGAGUGCGAAGAACAAACUGCAUUGACGGUACCGGAAAAGCAAGCCACGGCUAACUACGUG